AUGCAAUCCACGCUUGUCUAACUUGGAGUUUUGUGGUGAGCGAACCCACAUGUCAGAACCAAAAAUCUUCAUGUGUUUGAUGUAUGGCUUCUUGCCAAACAUCUUCUCAUAGGGGGUACAACCAAUCGCUGAAGAUAAUCUGCGAUUGUAACUGUAAACAAAACACGAGAGAGAUUCGGCCCAAUAACUCUCUGGAAGAUUGGCAUCAUGCAGCAAGGUUUUUAACCCUUGAAGCAAAGUCUGAUUUGCCCGUUCCGCAAGUCCAUUCUGCCAUGGCGAGCGAGGACUAGACAAAUCGUGUUGAAUUCCUUUCUCAGUCAGAAAAGCUUCAAACUGCUGAGAAGUGAAUUCCCCCCCGCGAUCACUGAAAAGAGUCUUUAUCUUCUUCCCAUGCACAUUUUCCAACCAAGCACAGAAUUCCUUGAACCUAGGAAAAGCCUCCGAUUUCUGCUUGAGAUUGUACACAAAAAUAUAUCUAGAAAAUGCAUCAAUGAGAACCAUGAAGUAUCUAUUUCCACCUAAAGAGGGCGUUAGUGGUCCAACCAAAUCAGCAUGAACAACCUGGUAUGGUUCUGUAGCUUUCCUACUAGACACCUUACCUUUCGCAGCCAUUUUCACCUUGUUUGCUGCGCAUGCUUUGCACUUCAUGUGGUACCUGCAGGGUUUAAUAGUCAUACCUUCAACCAAGGCAGGCAUUUUAGAUACUGCCUCAAAAUGCAAAUGACCAAAUUCACGAUGAAAAUCGUGAAUACAUUCUGCAUGCAAACUUUUGUUAGAACCUGCAAUGCAACAAGUGUCAUCCUGCACCACAUCAUCAUAAUACAAAACAAACAAACGAUCAACAUAUUCUGCAUGCAAUAUAUAAUCAUUUUUCUUUGUGAUGAUGCACUUCUUGUUCUUGAAGGAAACGUCAAUGUUCCGCUCAUUCAGCUGUCCAACGCUGAGCAGAUUAUGUUUGGCGUCUGGCACGUAAAGCACAUUCUGUAUCGUUAAGUCCAAACUGUGAAGAGCAACAGUUCCGUAGCCUUUACUGGGAAUAGUGUGGUCAUCCGCCUGGUGAAUCGCACCUUCCUGCGGUGUAAAAGACACAAACAGUUUCUUAUCGUUGCACAUGUGGUGGGUGGCCGCUGAAUCAACAACGAAGAAAGAUCUAGACGUCUUCUGGACCUCUGCAACCUUUGGAGUGAAGCGUGAAACCAUAGCCUUGUGCUGCGUUGUCCUAGACACCGGACCUUUGCCUUUGCCUCGGCCUUUUCCGCGCGAUGAGCUUCGCUGCGCUGCUCUGUCUUGGCCCUGGGAUGUCUGCAUUCCCUCUUCAUAUGGCCUAGACGUCCACAUGAGUAGCAUUUCACUGCCUUCAAAGCUUUGGCGCCAUCUGGUGGUUCCACUGCACUAUGGGAUGACGUCUGUGAAGACUCCCCUUGCCCAUGCAGCUAGCACCCCGGCGAUCUGCUUCAUUUAAAAUCACGGCAGUAACAAAGUCCACUGUCAGCUGAGCAGUUGGUUGCACAGCAAUCUGGGUUGCAACAGACUCCCAACCUGAACCCAAAGAUUGUAGUAUCAUGAAAGAAUACACAGCCUCUGGAAAGUUGAGUCCUCUCUGUUGCAGCUCAUGUCUCAGAUUUUGCAUCUCCAUCAAAUGUAAACGCACAUCUCCACCUUCAGCAAGAGCCAUAUUGUGCAGCUUGUUAAUGUAAAACAUAGUGGAUCCAGCUUCUGUCCUUAAGUGAGCCUCUUUCAGAGCGUCCCAAAUUUCUCUGGCUGAGGUCUUAUCACGCAAUAGACAGAGCUCUUCUGGGGAUACUAUCAAUGUAAGAGUUCCCCUUGCUUUGGAAUCCUUAGCUUCCCAUGCAUCUGUAACUGGAACUGGGGGUUCCUGUAAUCACCUCAAACAAACCCUCUUUCCGCAGAAUUGCCUCUGCAUACUGAACCCAGUCGCUGUAAUUAUUCUUGUUGAGCUUAGGAAUCCCACAAGCAUCCUGAAGGGCCAUCAUGACUCUGGCAUUAGCCUUCAGCGUCAUAUGCUGCUUUAAAUCUUGCUGCGUCACUGCUGCAGCUGCUUCAUUACAAAGGCACACUUAAAAGUUAGUUUCGAUUUCCCCAGCAUAGUGACUUGUGCCUGGGAGCCUUUUGCCUAUUUGCAAAACCGGCUUUAAAAGUUCAAAGUCCAGCCAUAAAGCCAUUAACUUGAAGCUGGCAGGCUGCCCGGAGCAGUAGCACAUACCUCAUCAAUCACUUCUACGCGCAGAGCAGAUUCCUUUCCGAUCCGUCCCUCUGCAUUCCGAUCCUCUGCCGGCACUCCGAUUCGACCUCUGGAGUCCAUAACCACGUGUUGAUUUAAGCAGAGUCUUGGUGCCCAGCGGAAGGAUGAGGAAAAUGUGCUACAUACUCUAUAUUGCUUUAUUUACAGUUCAAAGCUGGUAUAUUACAGAAAGACAUCUUGCCUCUGCAGGAGCAGAAAAUGCAUCCUCUCUCCUCGAGAGCUUGGAGAGAAAACACACAGUGAAAAACAGGAAACCAGUGUACGUCACAUCCAGUCUCCCUUUCCCGUGAGAAACUCCAACAGUACAGACUGUGGAAUGUAAACACCUGUCUUGUGACUGCAGUUGCUGCUCAGUGAAGGAAAUAGAAACCAACAGUCAGACCCAUUCUACAUCACAGAAACGUAUUCAUUCAAGUUUUUUUUGUCAUUUAUUAAAAUGUACAAGAGUUUUAUGAGUUUUGAUUUUGCAUCUUUGACCUUCAUGGUUAAUCUUAGAGACAUGCAGCAAUAUUCAACUAAAUUUAUUUAGAGUAGAGCAACUGAAAACAAUUUAGUCAUGUUCAUGAAUGUUAGUAGUUCUACUCUGAGUAAAACGUAGUUGGAUAACUCCCAUAGUUUAGCUUUUGACAGACACAUGUCCGCAGCUUUUGAAAACAAAAUGUCUGGAUUGAUGAGGCCACAAAACUCCCAGGGGUCUCUGCUUCAACUUUUGCCUGCAUCAUAGAGAUCUUGUCUCACAGAAGCCCCAUAUCCUUCUGAGACAUCCGUCUUCAACUUGUCAUCUGAAAUUCACACAAAUCAUGGCUUGCUCUGUUGAACUGUUGGGAAACUGUGGCCCUCCAAAUGUUGCUGGACUGUAAAUUCCAUCAUCCAUGACCAUUGGUCAUAAUGGUUAGAGGUGAUGGGAGAUGGAGUCCAUCAACAACCAAAGAUCUGUAGGUUCGCCACUCCUGCUCCAAGGCUUUGGUUCCUCAGUUGGAACAACCCAUUGCUCACCUUGCUCCACCUCCCUUCCAGGAUCUGAGCCUCGGCCUAUUUUUCACCAUGACACCCUCCUCUGUCCUCUCUAAUCUUUGCUUGCCUACCCCAGAAUCCAUUCAUCACCUGUUUUAGUUGCCUCUGGACUCUCGAUUGCUGCCUUUGGAUUCUUCCUUGCUCCGCACCAUUUGCCUCUGAACUCACUUGACUCCAAGCAUUUCGUAGGAAUGAUAUGCCACAAAUAAUAGAAAUUAUCUCUUUCCUGAAGGAGCCAAUACAUGAAGAGAGCCGCACCAUUGGCUGAAACUGGGGGCAUUUUGCGGAAUAGGAUUUUUCAUUUUACAGGGUAUUUUGUGCCGGUAUGGCCAAAUAAACACCUUUCCUGCACCACAGCAAAUGUAUAUAUAUCGUUUCCAGCUGACCUUUUUGUAACCUCUAUUAAGGGGCAAAAUGCAACUCAGAUUUCACAUUCAAUGAAAAAGAUGCUCACAUCUUUCUAGCUGAAUGCAUUAAGCCUGGCAGUGGUGUCAGGAAGCCGCUUUGCACUACAUGUUAAUCUUGCCUUUAAAUUUCAUUUCUGAGUCUUCUGAGUUCAGAAUGUAUCACCUUUGUUUAUUCAUGAGCCCUGCACUGUCCUGAUAGAAAGUCGCUGGAAGUUCAGGAGAAGGUUUGCUGGCCACAACUCGGUCAUCGCUAUUUGUCAAUAAUUUUGAAAUGACACAUUUCUGAAAAGGCAGCAUCUCAACUCAGCUGGGAAUUUCUUGUGCGCAGCUCAGCUCUGAUGUGGCAAAAUGAGAAGAGCCACCAACUUUUCUCGGAGUGAAACUGAGGCCACAUCUGCACCUUCCAUUUGAAGCAUACCACUCAGAAUGAUUAUCCUUCUUGGAAAUGUAGCUCUCUGAAGAGAGUAGGGGUCUCCCAACAGCUCCCAGUACCCUUAACCACCCUGAGAUCUUAUGAUGAAGGGCGGUAUAUAAAGCUAAUAAAUUAAAUAUAUCUAUUGAAAAUAAACAAACUGCAGUUCCCAGGAUUCUUUGGAGGAAACCAUGUAUGAUACGCUUUAAAUGUAAGGUACAGAUGUGGCCUUAGAGGUGAAGACCUUGAGAAAAUCCUCUGGAUGAUUCUAUGAAGACAAAGAAUAACAGUGGUGGGAAGAAUACCAACUCACUGUUUGUUGCAGAUAUUAAUAUUGCGCAGUUUGAAACGACUGGAAGCAUAAGAACUGACUCCUUUUGGAAAUGAUUCAUUGUCCAAGCCCAUAAAAGUAGUGUUCAAACAGAGCCUGAGAACAAAGACUCAGCUGCCAUCCUUUCAAGAUGGUGAAUCUGCAGUUCAAUAGCCUCCCAUGUGAUCUAAUGUUAAACACUCGCAUGUUAGCUAGCAGAGAAUAACAGUUAAUUAUAUCAACCCAUCAAGGAGCUCAGAGAGCCCUUCUUACACUACUUUAACUUCAAUGAAAUCUUCCAGCAUUAUCCAUUUCAGUGUCAAUUAAAUAAUUAUGCUUAACAUGUUAUCGUGUACUUAUGUUCUGAGUGCCACGCCUUACAUGAAGGAGGCUGCAGGUUUGAUUCUUGGUAUCUCCAGUUAAAAGUUUCAGGUGACCAGUAAUGGAUACUCUGGAGAGCUGCUGCCGUCAGAGCUACCAGUACUGAGCUACUGCUGUUAGAUGGCUUCCUGUCUUCUACCAGCUUCUUAAUUCAUUUUUUAAACUAAAUUAAAAUCUCCCUUCAUGUGCCAUUGCCCUCUCCAGGUGUUUUUUGGGAAUGGUAGGCAAAUGCUUCAUAUUUAUCUGCAAGGCCAAUGUUACCUCUUUUUUAAAAAAGCCCUUAAAACAUAUUAUUUUCAUUUCUGGCAAGAGGGACACACAACCCACGCCUUCAGGGGGGGAGAUGAAAAGGGGAAAAAAGCUAAAGGAACAUCUGGUGGAAGAUAUCAUCAAGGGUUUCCUCAGAAUUUUUAAGCUCUCUGAAGUCCGUUUGCAUCCACGGCAAGAUUCUCAUGAACGUGAUCAUCAUGAAAAUGUUGAUUUAAAGCAGAGUCUGGUUGCCCAGCGGAAGGAUGAGGAAAAUGUGUUACAUACUCUUUAUUGCUUUAUUUACAGUUCAAAGCUGGUAUAUUACAGAAAGACAUCUUGCCUCUGCAGGAGCAGAAAAUGCAUCCUCUCUCCUCUCUCAGCUCGGAGAGAAUCACACAGUGAAAAAACAGGAAACCAGUGUACGUCACAUCCAGUCUCCCUUUCCCGUGAGAAACUCCAACAGUACAGACUGUGGAAUGUAAAACAAUGUCUUGUGACUGCAGUUGCUGCUCAGUGAGGGAAAUAGAAACCAACAUCCUCCCCUUUCUGUGAACAUCACUGGGCAGCGUGUUCGUACAGUAUCAGUACAAACCCAACUUCUGCACAUAGGUACAGUGUUGAUCCCUUGAUACAAUCUUGGACAAUACAUCAGCAGGAAUUUCAUUACCUGGCAUAUAGGACACCGUUACGAGUCCCUUCUGAAUACAUUCCCUAGCAUGCUGCAACUUUAAUUGUAAGUGCUUUGUGCUUUGCUUACAACCUUCAGACUUCAGCAAAGCCAAACAUGCUUUGUUGUCCUGGUAAACCUGGAUUGGACAUUUGACAGGAAUUUUCAUAUCUUUGCACAAUUGUACUAACCAUUCACAAUCCUUAAGUGAAUAAGACAGUGCAUUCAGUUCGGCUUCACAAGUACUUAAGCUAACUGUUGUUUGCUUCUUGCAUGACCAAUCAAACAGACUCUGAUUGUACAUGUAGCAAACUCCAGACGUACUUUUCCUGUCUGUAGUGUCACUUCCAAAACUUGCAUCUGCAAAUAUCUCAAGACCACCAGACUUCUGAUUGUUAAAUCUCAGUCUGUAAUGCAUAGUGCCUUUCAAAUACCGCGCUAUGCGUUUCAGAGCUUUCCAAUCCUUGACACUAGGAUUGUUGACUUGUCUGCUUAGCAAAUUACAGCUAACAGCAAUGUCUGGUCUUGAACAUCUGGCAAUGAAGUUUAGCUUGCCUAGCACACUCCUGUACAGUGUAGUGUCAGAAAAUGCUUCUUCAGUGUCAUCUACCUGAUAACCUGUUGUCAUCGGUGUGUCUACAGGGUUAGCAUCCAUCAGAUUUAGUUUGCUUAACACAUCAGCAAUUUUCCGUGACUGGUGUACUAGAAUGUUACCAUCUUGAUCUCUCUCUAUUUCCAGAGAUAGGUAGUUGUUUACCUCACCAAGAUCUUUCAUGUCAAAGUGCUCUUUCAGUUGAGCUAGGGCGCUAUUGUACAUUGCAACAUCUUUCCAAAAGAAUAAUAAAUCAUCAACAUAAAACAAACAGUACAGUUUCUUUUGCCCCUCCUCUUUGACAAAUACACAUGGAUCAGCUUUCCCUUGCUGAAAACCUAGAGAAAACAAUACUUCAGUGAGUUUUGUGUGCCAACACCGUGCACUUUGUUUGAGACCAUAAAGGGAUUUCUUCAGAGCACAAACAAAUCCCUGUUUUACCUGUACGCCAUCAGGUGGAAGCAUAUAAAGUGAUUCAUCUAGAGAUCCGUACAGAAAAGCUGUAUUAAUAUCAUGGUGACUAAUGUGUAGAUUUUCCUCUGCAGCUAGCUUGAGCAUAAGCCUAAUGCUUUCAUAUCUCACUGUGGGUGAAUAGGUCUCGUGAUAGUCUUCACCUGGUACCUGUGCAAAACCUCUGGCUACCAAUCUGGCUUUGUGUCUGACUAUCUUGCCAUUUUGAUCUGUCUUCGCUUUGAAGACCCAUUUGCUUCCAAGCAGUUUCAUUCCUGGAACUACUGGAACUAGCUCCCAUGUUUUGUUCCUUUCUAAGGAAUCAAGCUCAGCCUUCAUGGCAUUUAACCAUGGCUCAGCUUCCUUUGAAUCCAAACCCUGGAUUUCUUGGAAACUUGAAGGUUCAAAUACCUUCUUGGAGCUUUUAACAGCUGUUACUGCUAUCUUAGCAAACUCAUCAGCAAAUCUCUUUGGAGGUUUGCCUUUGUGGCUCUCUGUGACCUACGAAUUAGCCUUAAGUCUUCAACACUCUCCUCUUCCUUCUUAGGAGAAAAACGACCUAUUGUGAACAAUGGUUCCUCCAAUUCUUGAUCAGAGCUUUCAGAGGGUCGCAUAGAGGCUUUCGCACUCUUGAAAUCCUCUGAAUCACCCGAUUCAGUUUCAGAUUCAGACUCAGAACCUUCAUCAGUGGGUGUGGGUUGUUGUGGUUGCUUUUGACUAUCCUCAGUCUCAUCACCGUCAUCAGGAUAACAUUGGAAAAUUCCCACAUUCUCCCCCACUUUGCAUUGUACUCAACACUUCUCGUGAGCUUAAUUGUCUUAGAGUCAGUCAUCAUUAUUCUGUAAGACCCUUUCUGAUAACCUAGAAAGAUACCAUGCAAUCCACGCUUGUCUAACUUGGAGUUUUGUGGUGAGCGAACCCACAUGUCAGAACCAAAAUCUUCAUGUGUUUGAUGUAUGGCUUCUUGCCAAACAUCUUCUCAUAGGGGGUACAACCAAUCGCUGAAGAUAGCCUGCGAUUGUAACUGUAAACAAAACACGAGAGAGAUUCGGCCCAAUAACUCUCUGGAAGAUUGGCAUCAUGCAGCAAGGUUUUUAAACCUUGAAGCAAUGUCUGAUUUGCCCGUUCCGCAAGUCCAUUCUGCCAUGGCGAGCGAGGACUAGACAAAUCGUGUUGAAUUCCUUUCUCAGUCAGAAAAGC
RNAcentral lists this long non-coding RNA (7945 nucleotides) under Podarcis lilfordi (Lilford's wall lizard). The record is from RNAcentral. Lineage: Eukaryota; Metazoa; Chordata; Lepidosauria; Squamata; Lacertidae.